This 253-nucleotide ribosomal RNA is filed under the name uncultured bacterium. Its description in RNAcentral is "partial 16S ribosomal RNA". It matches the Rfam family "Bacterial small subunit ribosomal RNA", at positions 524 to 776 of the family's 1533-position model. The record is from RNAcentral.
UACGUAGGGUGCAAGCGUUGUCCGGAAUUAUUGGGCGUAAAGAGCUCGUAGGCGGCCUGUUGCGUCGACUGUGAAAACCCGGGGCUCAACCCCGGGCCUGCAGCCGAUACGGGCAGGCUUGAGUUCGGCAGGGGAGACUGGAAUUCCUGGUGUAGCGGUGAAAUGCGCAGAUAUCAGGAGGAACACCGGUGGCGAAGGCGGGUCUCUGGGCCGAUACUGACGCUGAGGAGCGAAAGCGUGGGGAGCGAACAGG